This 827-nucleotide long non-coding RNA is filed under the name Homo sapiens (human). RNAcentral describes it as "non-protein coding lnc-SERPINI1-7:1". Lineage: Eukaryota; Metazoa; Chordata; Mammalia; Primates; Hominidae. The record is from RNAcentral.
AGGAGAAUGGCGUGAACCCGAGAGGCGGAGCUUGCAGUGAGCCGAGAUUGCGCCACUGCACUCCAGCCUGGGCGACAGAGCGAGACUCCGUCUCAAAAAAAAAAAAAAAAAAAGAAAACCGCCAAAAAAAAAAAAAAGGAACAAAAUAUGCAAGAACUGUGGGAUCACAGUUUUUAUAAUCCCACAAGGAUUAUGGAGACAUAAUGGGAAUACUAAAAGCAGAAAGAAAGGAACAGAAGAAACACUUGACAUAAUAAUGACUUGGGAUUUUUCAAAACUAAAGACAGACACUGAGCCACAGAUUCAGGAAGCUCACAGAACACCCAGCAGGAUAAAUACUCUUAGUCCACCUCAAUAAUCUUGUAUGUGAGCUGGGAUGAAAGACUGCAAACCCCUCCUUGGUCUACUAGAUCACAGUUAAGCUAUGGCAAAGAGGAUUACUUGGUCUGGAGAAUGUAAAAAGGACUUGCUUCUACCUGCCAGCUUUAUCACAGCACUAUUUCUCCGUCCUAACAGGGAUCCUUGAUUCUAAUAGUAGCAUAGGGUUCCAUUUUGCAGUUUUUUUCAACCUGAUUUCCCUCACGAUGGCCCAUCAAAGUUCCCUCUGCCAGCCACCUAGUGCCCUACCGCCUUGAGUCUGAGGUUUCCAGAUACUUUCCUCUAAGCCACAAAGUUUUAGUAAUCCUAACUUCUGUUCAUCCUUCCAAUCCUAGGUGUAGAAACUGCUUCUUCAGUUAUUGCAAAAAUGCAAUGUCCAUUUUUGUUUAUUUUGCUUUUUUCCCUUAUAGUUUCUAAUGCCCUGGUAAACAAGAUAUUUUAUAAAAUUU